Long non-coding RNA from Bolinopsis microptera, 403 nucleotides. RefSeq lists it as uncharacterized. The transcript has 2 exons. The record is from RefSeq and is a predicted model, not a curated record. Lineage: Eukaryota; Metazoa; Ctenophora; Tentaculata; Lobata; Bolinopsidae.
UGGGAUCUCUCAUCGUUCUUGCUAUCUUCAUAAGCUCAGCGUGGUUUGUCCUAUGGAAGCUGCUUCUAUCAAAAAUGCCUGUUUUUAGGGCCAUGUUUGGUUUGGACAGAGAAGAAACUGUAGCUGAUCAGGCAGCUGUUCCACCUAUAACAGGGAAAGCAAGGAACAGAAAAGUUGAUUAACAUGUUUUAAAUAUAAAGUGCUUCCUUAUUAUAUUGCAAUCAUUGAGUGUACUGGCGGUUUUUUCACUAUUUUUACUUGGCAUAGAUCUGCGCUGGUUGUAAGAAAAUGUGCUUGAAAAUGUUAGAUUUCGUAAAAGUGUUAUUAAUUCAUCAUAACAGGCAUAAAUUACCAACAUUAAAAUUUGUUUUUCAGAUAAUGACAUACAGUUAAUCAUACUUCA